GGCGUGCUAUGGCAGCCCCGAGGGGCAGCCCAGACCCAGGGGAGAAGGACAAAGUCCGGGCAGGAAUCAAACAUCUGGAUCCAGAUGUGCAGACUUCAUCUGAAGGACACAGAGGGGUUGGACUUGAGAUCAGCUGGCUUCCAAAAUCCUCUCAUUUGCAACAGUUACUUUAUCCUCCCUGUGCACAGUGAUACAGUGUAACAGGUAAGGAUUGGAAAGUGUAACACACUCCCCUCACCCAAUCCACUUUCGCUGAAAAGCAGUGAGUUAAGGGCAAUGGUUUUCUUCACAACAGGCAAAUAACUCAUGGUGUUCACUGUAGAGUGAGUAGAGGCCAAAGUUCUUGGAAGGGGGAGGGAGUGUACAAGGAGUGAGUGUAGGCAUCCUAAGCGACAAGGUCAGAUUCAAGCCCCACUCCAUUGAUGUAUGCAUUUCCCUUAACUGUGUCAUCCUCCUUUGAAUUUCUGCAUAUUUGAUUAUCUACACCAUUUCUGUUUCAAUAAAUG
This 506-nucleotide long non-coding RNA is filed under the name Heterocephalus glaber (naked mole-rat). RNAcentral describes it as "lncRNA (ENSHGLG00100050319.1)". The record is from RNAcentral. Lineage: Eukaryota; Metazoa; Chordata; Mammalia; Rodentia; Bathyergidae.